CAAUAGCGUAUAUUAAAGUUGUUGCAGUUAAAAAGCUCGUAGUUGAAUUUCGGGUCCCCGCGCUCGGCGCUUCAUUGUGCCGUCGUGGUGUCCCUCCUCGCCGUAAGGCGUCCUUUACUGUGAAAAAAUUAGAGUGUUCAAAGCAGGCAAUCGCUUGAAUACAUUAGCAUGGAAUAAUAAGAUAGGAUCUUGUCUAUUUUGUUGGUUGCGGACAACGAUAAUGAUUAAUAGGGAUAGUUGGGGGUGUCCGUAUUGAGCAGUCAGAGGUGAAAUUCUUGGAUUUGCUCAAGACGAACUACUGCGAAAGCAUUCACCAAGGAUGUUUUCAUUAA
RNAcentral lists this ribosomal RNA (332 nucleotides) under uncultured eukaryote. RNAcentral describes it as "partial 18S ribosomal RNA". It matches the Rfam family "Eukaryotic small subunit ribosomal RNA", at positions 592 to 976 of the family's 1831-position model. The record is from RNAcentral.